This 433-nucleotide ribosomal RNA is filed under the name uncultured bacterium. Its description in RNAcentral is "partial 16S ribosomal RNA". It matches the Rfam family "Bacterial small subunit ribosomal RNA", at positions 29 to 507 of the family's 1533-position model. The record is from RNAcentral.
AACGAACGCUGGCGGCAUGCCUAACACAUGCAAGUCGAACGAGACCUUCGGGUCUAGUGGCGCACGGGUGCGUAACGCGUGGGAACCUGCCCUUAGGUUCGGAAUAACUCCCCGAAAGGGGUGCUAAUACCGGAUAAUGUCUUCGGACCAAAGAUUUAUCGCCUUUGGAUGGGCCCGCGUUGGAUUAGCUAGUUGGUAGGGUAAAAGCCUACCAAGGCGACGAUGCAUAGCUGGUCUGAGAGGAUGAUCAGCCACACUGGGACUGAGACACGGCCCAGACUCCUACGGGAGGCAGCAGUGGGGAAUAUUGGACGAUGGGCGAAAGCCUGAUCCAGCAAUGCCGCGUGAGUGAUGAAGGCGUUAGGGUUGUAAAGCUCUUUUAACCGGGAUGAUAAUGACAGUACCGGGAGAAUAAGCUCCGGCUAACUCCGUG